GGUUAAGCGACUAAGCGUACACGGUGGAUGCCCUGGCAGUCAGAGGCGAUGAAGGACGUGCUAAUCUGCGAAAAGCGCCGGCGAGGUGAUAUGAACCCUUGACCCGGCGAUGUCCGAAUGGGGAAACCCAGUGCAAUCCGUUGCACUAUCGUUAACUGAAUACAUAGGUUAACGAGGCGAACCGGGGGAACUGAAACAUCUAAGUACCCCGAGGAAAAGAAAUCAACCGAGAUUCCCCCAGUAGCGGCGAGCGAACGGGGAGCAGCCCGGAGUCUGAAUCAGCUUGUGUGUUAGUGGAACGGUCUGGAAAGUCCGACGGUACAGGGUGAUAGUCCCGUACACGAAAGCACACUUGCUGUGAACUCGAAGAGUAGGGCGGGACACGUGGUAUCCUGUCUGAAUAUGGGGGGACCAUCCUCCAAGGCUAAAUACUCCUGACUGACCGAUAGUGAACCAGUACCGUGAGGGAAAGGCGAAAAGAACCCCGGCGAGGGGAGUGAAAAAGAACCUGAAACCGUGUACGUACAAGCAGUGGGAGCCUACUUGUUAGGUGACUGCGUACCUUUUGUAUAAUGGGUCAGCGACUUAUAUUCUGUAGCAAGGUUAACCGUAUAGGGGAGCCGAAGGGAAACCGAGUCUUAACUGGGCGUUAAGUUGCAGGGUAUAGACCCGAAACCCGGUGAUCUAGCCAUGGGCAGGUUGAAGGUUGGGUAACACUAACUGGAGGACCGAACCGACUAAUGUUGAAAAAUUAGCGGAUGACCUGUGGCUGGGGGUGAAAGGCCAAUCAAACCGGGAGAUAGCUGGUUCUCCCCGAAAGCUAUUUAGGUAGCGCCUCGUGAACUCAUCUUCGGGGGUAGAGCACUGUUUCGGCUAGGGGGCCAUCCCGGCUUACCAACCCGAUGCAAACUACGAAUACCGAAGAAUGUUAUCACGGGAGACACACGGCGGGUGCUAACGUCCGUCGUGAAGAGGGAAACAACCCAGACCGCCAGCUAAGGUCCCAAAGUCAUGGUUAAGUGGGAAACGAUGUGGGAAGGCACAGACAGCCAGGAUGUUGGCUUAGAAGCAGCCAUCAUUUAAAGAAAGCGUAAUAGCUCACUGGUCGAGUCGGCCUGCGCGGAAGAUGUAACGGGGCUAAACCAUGCACCGAAGCUGCGGCAGCGACACUAUGUGUUGUUGGGUAGGGGAGCGUUCUGUAAGCCGUUGAAGGUGUGCUGUGAGGCAUGCUGGAGGUAUCAGAAGUGCGAAUGCUGACAUAAGUAACGAUAAAGCGGGUGAAAAGCCCGCUCGCCGGAAGACCAAGGGUUCCUGUCCAACGUUAAUCGGGGCAGGGUGAGUCGACCCCUAAGGCGAGGCCGAAAGGCGUAGUCGAUGGGAAACAGGUUAAUAUUCCUGUACUUGGUGUUACUGCGAAGGGGGGACGGAGAAGGCUAUGUCAGCCGGGCGACGGUUGUCCCGGUUUAAGCAUGUAGGCGGAGGUUCCAGGUAAAUCCGGUACCUUUUAACGCUGAGGUGUGAUGACGAGGCACUACGGUGCUGAAGUGAUAAAUGCCCUGCUUCCAGGAAAAGCCUCUAAGCAUCAGGUAACACGAAAUCGUACCCCAAACCGACACAGGUGGUCAGGUAGAGAAUACCAAGGCGCUUGAGAGAACUCGGGUGAAGGAACUAGGCAAAAUGGUGCCGUAACUUCGGGAGAAGGCACGCUGAUGUGUAGGUGAAGCCCCUGCGGGCGGAGCUGAAAUCAGUCGAAGAUACCAGCUGGCUGCAACUGUUUAUUAAAAACACAGCACUGUGCAAACACGAAAGUGGACGUAUACGGUGUGACGCCUGCCCGGUGCCGGAAGGUUAAUUGAUGGGGUUAGCUGUAAGGCGAAGCUCUUGAUCGAAGCCCCGGUAAACGGCGGCCGUAACUAUAACGGUCCUAAGGUAGCGAAAUUCCUUGUCGGGUAAGUUCCGACCUGCACGAAUGGCGUAAUGAUGGCCAGGCUGUCUCCACCCGAGACUCAGUGAAAUUGAACUCGCUGUGAAGAUGCAGUGUACCCGCGGCAAGACGGAAAGACCCCGUGAACCUUUACUAUAGCUUGACACUGAACACUGGUCCUUGAUGUGUAGGAUAGGUGGGAGGCUUUGAAGCGUGGACGCCAGUCUGCGUGGAGCCAACCUUGAAAUACCACCCUUUAAUGGCUGGUGUUCUAACGUAGACCCGUAAUCCGGGUUGCGGACAGUGUCUGGUGGGUAGUUUGACUGGGGCGGUCUCCUCCCAAAGAGUAACGGAGGAGCACGAAGGUUGGCUAAUCCUGGUCGGACAUCAGGAGGUUAGUGCAAUGGCAUAAGCCAGCUUGACUGCGAGCGUGACGGCGCGAGCAGGUGCGAAAGCAGGUCAUAGUGAUCCGGUGGUUCUGAAUGGAAGGGCCAUCGCUCAACGGAUAAAAGGUACUCCGGGGAUAACAGGCUGAUACCGCCCAAGAGUUCAUAUCGACGGCGGUGUUUGGCACCUCGAUGUCGGCUCAUCACAUCCUGGGGCUGAAGUAGGUCCCAAGGGUAUGGCUGUUCGCCAUUUAAAGUGGUACGCGAGCUGGGUUUAGAACGUCGUGAGACAGUUCGGUCCCUAUCUGCCGUGGGCGCUGGAGAAUUGAGGGGGGCUGCUCCUAGUACGAGAGGACCGGAGUGGACGCAUCACUGGUGUUCGGGUUGUCAUGCCAAUGGCACUGCCCGGUAGCUAAAUGCGGAAGAGAUAAGUGCUGAAAGCAUCUAAGCACGAAACUUGCCCCGAGAUGAGUUCUCCCUGAGACCUUGAGUCUCCUGAAGGAACGUUGAAGACGACGACGUUGAUAGGUCGGGUGUGUAAGCGCAGCGAUGCGUUGAGCUAACCGAUACUAAUGAACCGUGAGGCUUAACCUU
This 2904-nucleotide ribosomal RNA is filed under the name Enterobacter hormaechei. Its description in RNAcentral is "23S ribosomal RNA". It matches the Rfam family "Bacterial large subunit ribosomal RNA". The record is from RNAcentral. Lineage: Bacteria; Pseudomonadati; Pseudomonadota; Gammaproteobacteria; Enterobacterales; Enterobacteriaceae.